This 404-nucleotide ribosomal RNA is filed under the name Actinomycetes bacterium. RNAcentral describes it as "Actinobacteria bacterium partial 16S ribosomal RNA". It matches the Rfam family "Bacterial small subunit ribosomal RNA", at positions 355 to 776 of the family's 1533-position model. Lineage: Bacteria; Bacillati; Actinomycetota; Actinomycetes. The record is from RNAcentral.
UGGGGAAUAUUGGACAAUGGGCGCAAGCCUGAUCCAGCCAUGCCGCGUGAGUGAUGAAGGCCCUAGGGUUGUAAAGCUCUUUCACCGGUGAUGAUAAUGACGGUAACCGGAGAAGAAUCCCCGGCUAACUUCGUGCCAGCAGCCGCGGUAAUACGAAGGGGGCUAGCGUUGUUCGGAUUUACUGGGCGUAAAGCGCACGUAGGCGGACUAUUAAGUCAGGGGUGAAAUCCCGGGGCUCAACCCCGGAACUGCCUUUGAUACUGGUAGUCUUGAGUUGGAGAGGAGUGAGUGGAAUUCCGAGUGUAGAGGUGAAAUUCGUAGAUAUUCGGAGGAACACCGGUGGCGAAGGCGGCUCACUGGCUCGAUACUGACGCUGAGGUGAGAAAGCGUGGGGAGCAAACAGG